This 274-nucleotide ribosomal RNA is filed under the name uncultured bacterium. RNAcentral's name for it is "partial 16S ribosomal RNA". It matches the Rfam family "Bacterial small subunit ribosomal RNA", at positions 523 to 796 of the family's 1533-position model. The record is from RNAcentral.
ACACGUACUGUGCGAACGUUAUUCGGAAUCACUGGGCUUAAGGGGUACGUAGGCGGCCUAUCAAGUCAGGUGUGAAAUCCCACGGCUCAACCGUGGAACUGCGCUUGAAACUGAUAGGCUUGAGAGAGACAGGGGUGUGUGGAACUUCUCGUGGAGCGGUGAAAUGUGUUGAUAUGAGAAGGAACACCGGUGGCGAAGGCGACACACUGGGUCUUUUCUGACGCUGAGGUACGAAAGCUAGGGGAGCGAACGGGAUUAGAAACCCUAGUAGUCC